GGCCUGUAGCUGAUGGUUAGAGCCGGUGGCUCAUAACCGCAUGGUUGGGGCUCGAAUCCCUCCGGCCGG
RNAcentral lists this transfer RNA (69 nucleotides) under Mesorhizobium sp. M2A.F.Ca.ET.037.01.1.1. Its description in RNAcentral is "tRNA-Met". The record is from RNAcentral. Lineage: Bacteria; Pseudomonadati; Pseudomonadota; Alphaproteobacteria; Hyphomicrobiales; Phyllobacteriaceae.